This is a small nuclear RNA of Dipodomys ordii (Ord's kangaroo rat), 107 nucleotides long. NCBI's taxonomy places the organism in Eukaryota, Metazoa, Chordata, Mammalia, Rodentia, Heteromyidae. The record is from Ensembl.
GUGCUCACUUGGACAACACAUAUACUAAAAUUGGAAUGAUGCAGAGAAGAUUAGCAUGGCCCCUGCACAAGGAUGACAUGCAAAUUUGUGAAGCAUUCCAUAUUUUU